CGGCACGGGUGAGUAACACGUAUCCAACCUGCCGUCUACUCUUGGCCAGCCUCCUGAAAGGAAGAUUAAUCCAGGAUGGCAUCAUGAGUUCACAUGUCCGCAUGAUUAAAGGUAUUUUCCGGUAGACGAUGGGGAUGCGUUCCAUUAGAUAGUAGGCGGGGUAACGGCCCACCUAGUCAACGAUGGAUAGGGGUUCUGAGAGGAAGGCCCCCCACAUUGGAACUGAGACACGGUCCAA
Molecule: ribosomal RNA, 238 nt
Filed under: uncultured bacterium
Lineage: Bacteria
Description: partial 16S ribosomal RNA
Rfam family: Bacterial small subunit ribosomal RNA
Source: RNAcentral